AUAGAAUGAUCAUGGUUAUAUGACAAGCAGAAUUCAAAUCCACAUCCUUUUGGCUCCAGAACUCUGUCUUUGGAGAAACAAAAAAAUGUUUAUAUCCUCUGCUUGAAGUUUCCCCUCACAUGAGGAAGUAUAUUCUGUCUACAGCCAAACAUGAUAAUUUUGAGAAGGAAGGGGAGAAGAAAGAAGAGGAUCAUAAUGAUGACAUCUUUUCACAAUCAGGAUUCAUAUUUCUCUGGUGUCACUGUAAUCAUCAGACUGAGAGACCAGAAAUGGAGGAAUGGUGUUCUAUUCCUAGUUGGUCACAUUGGAUCAACCCCAGUUUCAGGACAGAAGUAACUAUAAUGGAGAAUGACAGAUCAUAUAUUUCAUCCAAGAAAGCAGCAUUCACCUCAGAUUCCCUGCACUGGGCUCCUUGAGAAUGUAUUUAAGUUUCUUUUUUUUUUCUUUUGAGAAAGUCACCAACUUUGAAAUUAGUGUCCUUUUAUGGGUCUUGUCACAUAAAGUGCAUCGUGCUUGAAUUCCAAACUCGUGUCAUGCUUUGGUG
This is a long non-coding RNA of Sarcophilus harrisii (Tasmanian devil), 544 nucleotides long. RefSeq lists it as uncharacterized. NCBI's taxonomy places the organism in Eukaryota, Metazoa, Chordata, Mammalia, Dasyuromorphia, Dasyuridae. The record is from RefSeq and is a predicted model, not a curated record. The transcript has 3 exons.